GAUGAACGCUAGCUACAGGCUUAACACAUGCAAGUCGAGGGGCAGCAUGACGAUAGCUUGCUAUUGUUGAUGGCGACCGGCGCACGGGUGAGUAACGCGUAUCCAACCUGCCCUUGUCCAUCGGAUAACCCGUCGAAAGGCGGCCUAACACGAUAUGAAGUUCUCAGCAGGCAUCUAACGAGAACGAAAUGUAAAGGAGAAGGAUGGGGAUGCGUCUGAUUAGCUUGUUGGCGGGGUAACGGCCCACCAAGGCGACGAUCAGUAGGGGUUCUGAGAGGAAGGUCCCCCACAUUGGAACUGAGACACGGUCCAAACUCCUACGGGAGGCAGCAGUGAGGAAUAUUGGUCAAUGGGCGAGAGCCUGAACCAGCCAAGUAGCGUGCAGGAUGACGGCCCUAUGGGUUGUAAACUGCUUUUAUGCGGGGAUAAAGUGAGCCACGUGUGGCUUAUUGCAGGUACCGCAUGAAUAAGGACCGGCUAAUUCCGUGCCAGCCGCCGCAGUAA
Molecule: ribosomal RNA, 504 nt
Filed under: uncultured bacterium
Lineage: Bacteria
Description: partial 16S ribosomal RNA
Rfam family: Bacterial small subunit ribosomal RNA
Source: RNAcentral